This 520-nucleotide ribosomal RNA is filed under the name uncultured bacterium. RNAcentral describes it as "bacterial SSU rRNA". It matches the Rfam family "Bacterial small subunit ribosomal RNA", at positions 355 to 889 of the family's 1533-position model. The record is from RNAcentral.
UGGGGAAUCUUGGACAAUGGGGGCAACCCUGAUCCAGCCAUGCCGCGUGAGUGAUGAAGGCCUUAGGGUCGUAAAGCUCUUUCGCCUGUGAAGAUAAUGACGGUAGCAGGUAAAGAAACCCCGGCUAACUCCGUGCCAGCAGCCGCGGUAAUACGGAGGGGGUUAGCGUUGUUCGGAAUUACUGGGCGUAAAGCGCACGUAGGCGGACUAGCAAGUUAGAGGUGAAAUCCCGGGGCUCAACCCCGGAACUGCCUCCAAAACUAUUGGUCUAGAGUUCGAGAGAGGUGAGUGGAAUUCCAAGUGUAGAGGUGAAAUUUCGUAGAUAUUUGGAGGAACACCAGUGGCGAAGGCGGCUCACUGGCUCGAUACUGACGCUGAGGGUGCGAAAGUGUGGGGAGCAAACAGGAUUUAGAUACCCUGGUAGUCCACACCGUAAAACGAUGAAUGCCAGUCGUCGGGUAGCAUGCUAUUCGGUGACACACCUAACGGAUUAAGCAUUCCGCCUGGGGAGUACGGUCGC